RNAcentral lists this ribosomal RNA (485 nucleotides) under uncultured bacterium. RNAcentral describes it as "bacterial SSU rRNA". It matches the Rfam family "Bacterial small subunit ribosomal RNA", at positions 28 to 511 of the family's 1533-position model. The record is from RNAcentral.
GAUGAACGCUAGCGGCAGGCCUAAUACAUGCAAGUCGAGGGGUAAAUAUGUAGCAAUAUAUAUGAGACCGGCGCACGGGUGCGUAACACGUAUGCAACCUACCUUUUACUGGGGAAUAGCUCAGAGAAAUCUGAAUUAAUACCCCAUAAUAUUAUGAAAUGGCAUCAUUUUAUAAUUAAAGCUCCGGCGGUAAAAGAUGGGCAUGCGGAACAUUAGCUAGUUGGUGAGGUAAUGGCUCACCAAGGCUACGAUGUUUAGGGGGUCUGAGAGGAUGAUCCCCCACGCUGGUACUGAGACACGGACCAGACUCCUACGGGAGGCAGCAGUAGGGAAUAUUGGGCAAUGGACGAAAGUCUGACCCAGCCAUGCCGCGUGCAGGAUGACUGUCCUAUGGAUUGUAAACUGCUUUUAUAUGGGAANAAACCCUUGGAUGCGUCCGAGGCUGACGGUACCAUAUGAAUAAGGAUCGGCUAACUUCGUGCCAG